RNAcentral lists this ribosomal RNA (493 nucleotides) under Euobrimus dohrni. RNAcentral describes it as "partial 16S ribosomal RNA". It matches the Rfam family "Bacterial large subunit ribosomal RNA", at positions 1858 to 2611 of the family's 2925-position model. Lineage: Eukaryota; Metazoa; Arthropoda; Insecta; Phasmatodea; Heteropterygidae. The record is from RNAcentral.
CCUGCCCAAUGAAGUUUUUAAUGGCCGCGGUAUUUUAACCGUGCAAAGGUAGCAUAAUCAUUAGCCUAUUAAUUGUAGGCUUGUAUGAAUGGUUGGACGAAAUAAUUACUGUCUCAUUUGUUUUUUUAGAAUUUAAUUUUUGAGUCAAAAAGCUCAAGUUUUUUUGUAGGACGAGAAGACCCUAUAGAUCUUUAUUGUUUUUAUUCUUUAUUUAUUUAGUUUAAAUUUUAUUUUUUAGUUUAUUUGCUUUUUUGUUGGGGUGACAUGGGGAUUUAUAUUAACUCUUUAUUUUUUUUUUCAUUUAUUUAUGUUUAUUUGACCUUUUAUUAAUGUUAUAAGAUUUAGAUACCUUAGGGAUAACAGCGUUAUUUUUUUUGAGAGUUCAUAUCGACAGAGAANAUUGCGACCUCGAUGUUGGAUUAAGAUUAUUAUCAGGUGUAGUGGCUUGGUUAUUAGGUCUGUUCGACCUUUAAAUUCUUACAUGAUCUGAGUU